GGUUGCCUGGGUGAAGAGACCAACCCCAUCCUGGCUACAGCCUCCCUUCAGUGUUGGCUGUAGGUGAUAUAACAGCAGCUGAACAAGAAAUCCUAGUCCAGUCCUUACAACCCACCUGGCAACAAGGACAAACUCCCAUCUUGAGAGGAUGAAGUGAAAAGAAUAUGUAAACAAAGAUCAGGAGUCAUACAUGAAAUCAGAGUAAUUGACAAAAGCCCCCAAACUGGCAGAACAUGAGGUGACUGUCAAAGCAGGGAGUAACAUAUUAGCAGUAAUAAAUAACCCAGAAAUCUCACUUCAUGGAAGCAAACCAAUGUAAACAUUAGAGACAGCCAAUGCUAAACACUAAUUAGAUAUAAUUGCAUUUUCAAAAUGAUUUGAUGGAUCAGAGAACCAUUUUCUGGCACUACUCUCCUGGACACCUGGGCA
Pogoniulus pusillus (Red-fronted tinkerbird) is the source of this 429-nucleotide long non-coding RNA. RefSeq lists it as uncharacterized. Lineage: Eukaryota; Metazoa; Chordata; Aves; Piciformes; Lybiidae. The record is from RefSeq and is a predicted model, not a curated record. The transcript is spliced from 3 exons.